RNAcentral lists this ribosomal RNA (466 nucleotides) under uncultured bacterium. RNAcentral's name for it is "partial 16S ribosomal RNA". It matches the Rfam family "Bacterial small subunit ribosomal RNA", at positions 28 to 507 of the family's 1533-position model. The record is from RNAcentral.
GAUGAACGCUGGCGGCGUGCUUAACACAUGCAAGUCGAACGAUGAAGCCCAGCUUGCUGGGUGGAUUAGUGGCGAACGGGUGAGUAACACGUGAGUAACCUGCCCUUAACUCUGGGAUAAGCCUGGGAAACUGGGUCUAAUACCGCAGAGGAGCGUCCACCGCAUGGUGGGUGUUGGAAAGAUUUAUCGGUUUUGGAUGGACUCGCGGCCUAUCAGCUUGUUGGUGUGGUAAUGGCUCACCAAGGCGACGACGGGUAGCCGGCCUGAGAGGGUGACCGGCCACAAUGGGACUGAGACACGGCCCAGACUCCUACGGGAGGCAGCAGUGGGGAAUAUUGCACAAUGGGCGGAAGCCUGAUGCAGCAACGCCGCGUGAGGGAUGACGGCCUUCGGGUUGUAAACCUCUUUCAGUAGGGAAGAAGCGUGAGUGACGGUACCGGCAGAAGAAGCACCGGCUAACUACGUG